AUUGAACGCUGGCGGCAGGCCUAACACAUGCAAGUCGAGCGGAUGAAGGGAGCUUGCUCCUGGAUUCAGCGGCGGACGGGUGAGUAAUGCCUAGGAAUCUGCCUGGUAGUGGGGGAUAACGUCCGGAAACGGGCGCUAAUACCGCAUACGUCCUGAGGGAGAAAGUGGGGGACCUUCGGACCUCACGCUAUCAGAUGAGCCUAGGUCGGAUUAGCUAGUUGGUGGGGUAAAGGCCUACCAAGGCGACGAUCCGUAACUGGUCUGAGAGGAUGAUCAGUCACACUGGAACUGAGACACGGUCCAGACUCCUACGGGAGGCAGCAGUGGGGAAUAUUGGACAAUGGGCGAAAGCCUGAUCCAGCCAUGCCGCGUGUGUGAAGAAGGUCUUCGGAUUGUAAAGCACUUUAAGUUGGGAGGAAGGGCAGUAAGUUAAUACCUUGCUGUUUUGACGUUACCAACAGAAUAAGCACCGGCUAACUUCGU
Molecule: ribosomal RNA, 483 nt
Filed under: uncultured bacterium
Lineage: Bacteria
Description: partial 16S ribosomal RNA
Rfam family: Bacterial small subunit ribosomal RNA
Source: RNAcentral